Molecule: ribosomal RNA, 253 nt
Filed under: uncultured bacterium
Lineage: Bacteria
Description: partial 16S ribosomal RNA
Rfam family: Bacterial small subunit ribosomal RNA
Source: RNAcentral
UACGGAGGAGGCAAGCGUUAUCCGGAAUUAUUGGGCGUAAAGCGUCCGCAGGUGGCACUUCAAGUCUGCUGUCAAAGACCGGGGCUUAACUUCGGAAAGGCAGUGGAAACUGAACAGCUAGAGUAUGGUAGGGGCAGAGGGAAUUCCCGGUGUAGCGGUGGAAUGCGUAGAGAUCGGGAGGAACACCUAUGGCGAAGGCAGCUCGCUGGGACGUUACUGACGCUGAGACGCGAAAGCGUGGGGAGCAAACAGG